CAUAUUGCUCCAGGUAGCGAACAAGGGUUAGUGGUCAACACUAACCUCUUCUGAAGUUUCCCCUUACAUGAAUGUUUGUCAAUCGACAUUUUGAGUUGUUGUCGUCCACAACGAAAGGCUUACCGCUUCCGUAUCUUCGAGAUCGAAUCUCCAAGACGGAAUCUCUCAAACUAUCGCUGCACCAUGCACCACCCAAACUGUUAGAUUUGAAGAAUCAGCUUUGUUUACACGACAAGUACCUGCGAAAACAAAAUAAAUUUUCAAAACCUGCAAUAAUUUUGUACAAACCCGAUACAAAUGUGUAUCUGGGUAGGCCCGAGCUUGAUUAUUCCUCUCCUGCCCGGCUAACAGUAUCGUCGCUCUCUCAAAAUCGGUGUUUUUCAAAGGAUUAAAACAUUUUUCAACUUCUUUUUUGGCUUCUGUUCUGCGACCUAAUUUUGAACCCUUCACAUCAGUUUGAUACCUGCAAAUUUUCCCUUCGGCUUCCCAGAUGAACCAGUGUAUGGAGACUUUUGGGAUGGAAGAAGUGCUUGCAGGUGUGCCACAAGGAUCAAUACUCGCUUCGAUGUACACAAUUUUUACUUCUGAUACGCCCAGAGAUGAAAAUGCACUUACCGCCAAAUCUGUAGAUUUAACAAGUCGUCCGUCAUCUACACAAGCAUCAAUUAUGUUAUAAAAUCAAAUAUCAACAAUUGAAAAAUGGAGCAAUCUUUGGAAAAUAAAGUUAACCCCUCAAGUCGUGAGACUUUUCCUAGCAUAUGUACUUAUACAAUGAACGUGUUCAUCAAUCCUACAAAGUAACUAUUUAGGACUUACAUUUAAUAAAAGACUAACUUGGAAUCCAUAAACUCUCAGCAAAUGAUUAAAAAUGCUUUAUUACCUUCCCAACCGACAAUCAAAAUUACUAUUAAAGUGAAAACUUUCGACAUACACAUCCUACUCAAAUCUAUUUGGAUGUAUGGGUGCCAAGUUUAUGGAUCGGCCAAAUAUUUCAAUAUUCAAAGAAUAAAAGGUUUUCAAUCCACAAUUUUAUGACUAAUUGUUUUGCCCCUUUUUACAUAAACAAUAACACACUUCAGAACGAUCUUCACUCUUUUCAUCUAUCAAAACAUAUUACAAAUACUUUCACAGUAAAUUACAAAAUCACACUAACACACAAAUACGAUUCCCGCAAUAACCAGGUAAGCUACUUAAAAUAAUGUGGAUAAGAGACUUCUUACAUAAAUAAUAUCAUUUUUACCUAGUGAUUUUUUUGCUGAAUGUCGCUAUACAAAUGUACAACUUCAUCGGUGAAUGUCUUGUUGAAUCUUUUUGGGAGAAAAACUCUUAUUGUAGAAUCUCGAAUAAAAAACAAGCACAGAUAGCCUCUUUUUGCUUCUCAGUUGCUCCAUCUUUUUAUGUAGAUAUGAAU
Molecule: long non-coding RNA, 1411 nt
Organism: Cimex lectularius (bed bug)
Lineage: Eukaryota; Metazoa; Arthropoda; Insecta; Hemiptera; Cimicidae
Exons: 3
Source: RefSeq, a predicted model, not a curated record